GCUAGGCAUGGUGGCGUGCACCUGUAAUCCCAGCUACUCGGAGGCUGAGGCAGGAGAAUUGCUUGUACCCAGGAGGUGGAGGUUGCAGUGAACCGUGAUCACGCCACUGCACUCCAGCCUGGGCAAUAGAGUGAGACCCUGUCUCAA
Unclassified non-coding RNA from Pongo abelii (Sumatran orangutan), 147 nucleotides. It matches the Rfam family "Metazoan signal recognition particle RNA". Rfam says of the family: The signal recognition particle (SRP) is a universally conserved ribonucleoprotein. NCBI's taxonomy places the organism in Eukaryota, Metazoa, Chordata, Mammalia, Primates, Hominidae. The record is from Ensembl.